RNAcentral lists this ribosomal RNA (198 nucleotides) under uncultured bacterium. RNAcentral's name for it is "partial 16S ribosomal RNA". It matches the Rfam family "Bacterial small subunit ribosomal RNA", at positions 328 to 539 of the family's 1533-position model. The record is from RNAcentral.
ACGCUCGACACCUACGGGAGGUAGCAGUGGGGAAUAUUGCACAAUGGGGGAAACCCUGAUGCAGCGACGCCGCGUGAGCGAAGAAGUAUUUCGGUAUGUAAAGCUCUAUCAGCAGGGAAGAUCAUGACGGUACCUGACUAAGAAGCUCCGGCUAAAUACGUGUCAGCAGCCGCGGUAAUCUGAGCGGGCUGGCAAGGC